CUUGUGGAGAGUUAUACAAACGAAAGUAGUUAAGACGAAAUCGAACUCGUUUGAAACAAGAA
Molecule: non-coding RNA, 62 nt
Submitted as: unclassified sequences
Source: Rfam